Diprion similis is the source of this 525-nucleotide long non-coding RNA. RefSeq lists it as uncharacterized. The transcript is spliced from 2 exons. Lineage: Eukaryota; Metazoa; Arthropoda; Insecta; Hymenoptera; Diprionidae. The record is from RefSeq and is a predicted model, not a curated record.
CGUAGAUUUACCUGCAGGUAAGCCGAGACGCUCGUCUGCUGACCAAGCGUCUCAGGCAUUGGUUGAUUUGAAGCCGUCCCCUCUUCAAGGUGUUAACAUAAAGAUUAAUAGGGCAUCGGCUCAAACCGUCGAGGAAUUUCCAUCCAGAAAGAUGUUGGCUAUCGUUUCGAGUCGUCCGAUCCUAAGAUCCGUCGUCGAUGCCUUUGCAAAGACGUCUGCACGGAAUCACUCUCAUUACCAAUGGGAUGUUUCUGGACCACCGCGCGUGAGGAUACCGUUUCCGGAAAAAGUGGCUCAUGGAAUCAUAAUCUUCCUCGGUUCCAUUUUGAUUCCGACGUGGGUAACCUAUAACAUCCCAAAGUAUAAUCCACGGGAGGCCGAUGAUGAGUAGAAUGACCUUACAUGACAGUAGAUGAGACUUUUUCUGGAUUUGUAGUGCUCUGCAUUAAACCUAACUUAUUUGCAUGGCUCUAUAUUCGUCGACGUUGUAAUUGAAUUGACAUGCAAUAAAAUUGUUAAGGGCCA